UGAGCAAUCUGCCCUUCUCAUCGGAAUAAGCGUUGGAAACGACGUCUAAUGCCGAAUACGACCUCCUUUCGCAUGAUCGGAGGUGGAAAGCUCCGGCGGAGAAGGAUGAGCUCGCGGCCUAUCAGCUAGUUGGUGUGGGUAAUGGCCCACCAAGGCGACGACGGGUAGCCGGCCUGAGAGGGUGACCCGGCCACACGUGGGACUGAGACCACCGCCCAGACCUCCGUACGGGAGCAG
Molecule: ribosomal RNA, 237 nt
Filed under: uncultured bacterium
Lineage: Bacteria
Description: partial 16S ribosomal RNA
Rfam family: Bacterial small subunit ribosomal RNA
Source: RNAcentral